CACUCAUAAGUGGGAGCUAAACUAUGAGGAUGCAAAGGCAUAAGAAUAAUACAAUGGACUCUGGGGAUUCAGGGAAAGGGUGGGAGGGGGGUGAGGGAUAAAAGGCUACACAUUAGGUAUAGUGUGUACUACUUGGAUGAUGGGUGCACCAAAAUCUCAGAAAUCACCACUAAAGAACUUAUUCAACAUAAAUAUACAGACAUACACAUACAUAUAUCCUGUUCAUGAUAUAUUAUCCUGUAUAAUUGAAUUCAAUUUGCUUAUAUUUUGUACAUUUUUUUGGUUCACGAGACAUAUUGCCUAUAUCUUUUCCCUUGUAAUGUCCCUGACAGGCUGUGUUAUCAGUGUCCUUUCCCACUUUAUGUUUUUGUUUGACUUGUUGAAGAUCAGUUGGCUGUAACUAUUUGGGUUUAUUUCUGGGUUCUCCAUUCUGUUCCAUUGGUCUAUGUGCCUAUUUUUAUACCAGUACCAUGAUGUUUUGGUGCCUAUGGCCUUAUAGUAUAGUGUGAAGUCAGGUAACAUGAUGCCUCCAAAUGAUUUGUUCUUUUUGCUUAGUCUUGCUUUGGGUGUGUGGGCUCUCUUUUUGGUUUCAUAUACACUUUAGUAUUGUUUUUUCUAGUUCUGUGAAGAAUGAUGAUGGUAUUUUGAUAGGAAUUGCAUUGAAUUUGUAAACUGCUUUUGGCAGUAUGGUCAUUUUCACAAUAUUGAUUCCACUCAUCGAUGAGCAUGGGAUGUGUUUCCAUUUGUGUCAUCUAUGAUUUCUUUCAGCUGUGUUUUGUAGUUCUCUUUGUAGAGGCCUUUCACCUUUUUGGUUAGGUAUAUUCCUAAGUAUUUUUUGUAUUUUUUUUUUCUUGCAGCUAUUGUAAAAGGAGUUGAGUUCUUGAUUUGAUCCUCAGCUUGGUUGCUGUUGGUGUAUAGGAGAGCUACUGA
This 930-nucleotide long non-coding RNA is filed under the name Homo sapiens (human). RNAcentral's name for it is "non-protein coding lnc-ZBTB41-1:4". The record is from RNAcentral. Lineage: Eukaryota; Metazoa; Chordata; Mammalia; Primates; Hominidae.